RNAcentral lists this transfer RNA (72 nucleotides) under Phrynosoma platyrhinos (Desert horned lizard). Its description in RNAcentral is "tRNA-OTHER". Lineage: Eukaryota; Metazoa; Chordata; Lepidosauria; Squamata; Phrynosomatidae. The record is from RNAcentral.
GUCAGCGUGGCAUAGUGGUUUGAGUGUUGGACUAUGACUCUGGAGGCCAGGGUUCAAUUCCCCACUUGGGCA